GAUGAACGCUAGCGGCAGGCCUAACACAUGCAAGUCGAACGGUAACAGGAAUUAGCUUGCUAAUUUGCUGACGAGUGGCGCACGGGUGCGUAACGCGUAUACAAUCUGCCUUUUACAGGGGGAUAGCCCAGAGAAAUUCGGAUUAAUACCCCAUGGUAUUAUCAGAUGGCAUCUGAAGAUAAUUAAAGAUUCAUUGGUAAAGGAUGGGCAUGCGUGACAUUAGUUAGUUGGUAAGGUAACGGCUUACCAAGACGAUGAUGUCUAGGGGUUCUGAGAGGAAGAUCCCCCACACUGGUACUGAGACACGGACCAGACUCCUACGGGAGGCAGCAGUAGGGAAUAUUGGGCAAUGGAGGCAACUCUGACCCAGCCAUGCCGCGUGCAGGAAGACAGCUUUCUGAGUUGUAAACUGCUUUUAUAUAGGAACAAAGAGGCCAUGCGUGGCAAGUUGCGUGUACUAUAUGAAUAAGCACCGGCUAACUCCGUG
This 487-nucleotide ribosomal RNA is filed under the name uncultured bacterium. RNAcentral's name for it is "bacterial SSU rRNA". It matches the Rfam family "Bacterial small subunit ribosomal RNA", at positions 28 to 507 of the family's 1533-position model. The record is from RNAcentral.